This 1393-nucleotide ribosomal RNA is filed under the name Escherichia coli. RNAcentral's name for it is "partial 23S ribosomal RNA". It matches the Rfam family "Bacterial large subunit ribosomal RNA", at positions 381 to 1776 of the family's 2925-position model. Lineage: Bacteria; Pseudomonadati; Pseudomonadota; Gammaproteobacteria; Enterobacterales; Enterobacteriaceae. The record is from RNAcentral.
AAAAAUGCACAUACUGUGAGCUCGAUGAGUAGGGCGGGACACGUGGUAUCCUGUCUGAAUAUGGGGGGACCAUCCUCCAAGGCUAAAUACUCCUGACUGACCGAUAGUGAACCAGUACCGUGAGGGAAAGGCGAAAAGAACCCCGGCGAGGGGAGUGAAAAAGAACCUGAAACCGUGUACGUACAAGCAGUGGGAGCACAGAGCAAUCUGUGUGACUGCGUACCUUUUGUAUAAUGGGUCAGCGACUUAUAUUCUGUAGCAAGGUUAACCGAAUAGGGGAGCCGAAGGGAAACCGAGUCUUAACUGGGCGUUAAGUUGCAGGGUAUAGACCCGAAACCCGGUGAUCUAGCCAUGGGCAGGUUGAAGGUUGGGUAACACUAACUGGAGGACCGAACCGACUAAUGUUGAAAAAUUAGCGGAUGACUUGUGGCUGGGGGUGAAAGGCCAAUCAAACCGGGAGAUAGCUGGUUCUCCCCGAAAGCUAUUUAGGUAGCGCCUCGUGAAUUCAUCUCCGGGGGUAGAGCACUGUUUCGGCAAGGGGGUCAUCCCGACUUACCAACCCGAUGCAAACUGCGAAUACCGGAGAAUGUUAUCACGGGAGACACACGGCGGGUGCUAACGUCCGUCGUGAAGAGGGAAACAACCCAGACCGCCAGCUAAGGUCCCAAAGUCAUGGUUAAGUGGGAAACGAUGUGGGAAGGCCCAGACAGCCAGGAUGUUGGCUUAGAAGCAGCCAUCAUUUAAAGAAAGCGUAAUAGCUCACUGGUCGAGUCGGCCUGCGCGGAAGAUGUAACGGGGCUAAACCAUGCACCGAAGCUGCGGCAGCGACGCUUAUGCGUUGUUGGGUAGGGGAGCGUUCUGUAAGCCUGCGAAGGUGUGCUGUGAGGCAUGCUGGAGGUAUCAGAAGUGCGAAUGCUGACAUAAGUAACGAUAAAGCGGGUGAAAAGCCCGCUCGCCGGAAGACCAAGGGUUCCUGUCCAACGUUAAUCGGGGCAGGGUGAGUCGACCCCUAAGGCGAGGCCGAAAGGCGUAGUCGAUGGGAAACAGGUUAAUAUUCCUGUACUUGGUGUUACUGCGAAGGGGGGACGGAGAAGGCUAUGUUGGCCGGGCGACGGUUGUCCCGGUUUAAGCGUGUAGGCUGGUUUUCCAGGCAAAUCCGGAAAAUCAAGGCUGAGGCGUGAUGACGAGGCACUACGGUGCUGAAGCAACAAAUGCCCUGCUUCCAGGAAAAGCCUCUAAGCAUCAGGUAACAUCAAAUCGUACCCCAAACCGACACAGGUGGUCAGGUAGAGAAUACCAAGGCGCUUGAGAGAACUCGGGUGAAGGAACUAGGCAAAAUGGUGCCGUAACUUCGGGAGAAGGCACGCUGAUAUGUAGGUGAAGUCCCUCGCGG